Molecule: long non-coding RNA, 1298 nt
Filed under: Citrus sinensis (sweet orange)
Lineage: Eukaryota; Viridiplantae; Streptophyta; Magnoliopsida; Sapindales; Rutaceae
Description: long non-coding RNA (CSIN_LNC005407)
Source: RNAcentral
CAGUGAACAGUGUUACUGUAGUAAAAUUAAAAAAUAACGGUAAUAUCAUUGUUCCUGAGCGGCUAGCCGAAUAAUCAAGCGGCUAACCGCAUGGGCGUGGGAAUUUGCCUAUAACGGCUAGUUUUCGGGCUUUCACUAUAAAAACUCAACUCAAACUUCAUUCUAAGGACUAAUGCAAGCAAAUAUAAGAUCAUAUAACAUAUAUUGAGCUUCCAUUUCGUAAAUCAUCAUUUAUUGAAUCAUUAUUGAGCUAUAAUUCGUUAUCCACUCUUAAAGAGAGUUUCAUUGUUGUGAUUUUCAUUUCUCAUCAAAUUGUGAGCGUACAACCACUUGGGGUGAAGAGAUUGGGGAUAUAAUCUCUUGUUGUAAAGGUUCAUUGACACCUUGUAAGUCAAUUAUAAACAUUUGAAGUCUUGGGAGGCUUGGAUAGUGAAAUCCUCAAGCCGGGUGAGCUUGGAGGCGUGGACGUAGGCAGGGAUAGCCGAACUACGUAAAAAUUCUUGUGUUUGUUUUCUCUUCCCUUACUCUUUUAAUAUUGUGCUUGAUUGAAUUUAUUAUUUUUUAUUUGAUUAAGACAAUAGAUUAAAUUGUUGUGCGAAUUGUAUUGUAUAAAUUUUAAAAUCUCAAUUCACCCCCUCUCUUGGGUUGCAUAACUUGCUUUUUAAAACCACUUUUCAUGGCAAUUUUCAUCCAACUCCAAAGCUUAAUAUUAAUUGCACAUCAAGCAAACCCUUUUGGGCUUUGGGCUUUUUGGCCCCCAAAUGAAAUGGACUCAACACUAUGAAAGUCAAAUUUUCGAGUUUAUGUUAGAAGUCAAAUACCAUUGUCUCUUCUCCUACUCUAAAUAUAUUUUUUUCGGAUCCAAUUUUUGUGUUUGGGUCAAAAGUAUUGCCAUUUUGUGUUGCAUUUAUACAGUAUGGAUUUGGGGGUUGAUUAAGGUGUUUCUUCUGAUGAUGUGGACAUUGCAGAGGCUAAAUCUCUUCGCUUUGGCUUACGACGCGCUAGUGAGGCUAGUUUGUCUCACUGGUGGUGGACUCGAAUUCAUUGCGGGUUAUUUAGUUUGUCAACGGCAAACAUCAUACAUGUAUCGAGCGUUUUUGGAUUAUUUCAAAAAUUGAAAUGCUAAUCUCAGCGGCAGAAUUUCAAAAUGUAGAAUAUUUCAAGAUGUUGAACCAUGUUGUUGAUGUAUUAUCUAAAUUUACUUUUCAGUAUUCAUAGUCUUUAGUUUGGUUGGAAGAUUAUCCUAAUUUUUUAAAAUGUUAUCUGCAAGCUGAAUUCUGAAAUAAAAUACCCGCAUG